AUGUUCACUAUGUUGACAGGGCUGCGGAAAUUGCGGGUACUGAAUAUGAGAGUAGCACGUGAGAGGAGUGGAUUUGGUUUUUCAUUCUCAUUCCCAGAUUCUAUUGGUCAGUUGAAGCAUCUGCGUUAUUUUGGUUUCAUGGUUCCAGUACUUCACAAGCUAACUUUACCAGGUGCUUUUACCAAGCUUUACCACAUGCAGGUGGUAGAUUUUGGUCAUUGCAAAUUUUUGGCUUUUUCUAGAGGUGAAGAUAUGAUGAACCUUGUCAACCUGCGCCGUGUAAUCAGCAAGGCAGAUCUUGAUUUUCCGAACGUUGGCAGGCUGACAUGGCUCCAAAUGUUACCAUUCUUCACAAUAAGUAAGAAGCAGGGGUACGAGUCUCACCAGCUGAAAUACCUAAACAAGCUUCAAGGCAAGCUGCAGAUCCACGGUCUUGAGAAUGUUGAGAGCAAGGAGGAGGCUGUUGAAGUAAGUCUUGCUGGCAAGGAAAAACUCACAGAACUGGUACUGGUCUGGGAUGAUAAGAACUGCAGUCCAGAAGUUCAAGCAGAGGUGCUUGAGGGUCUUUGUCCAUCAAAGUAUCUUGAAAGAUUAGAAAUCAGGGGUUACCGUGGUAAGAGGAUACCGAGUUGGAUGAUGGGUACGCAUAACGGCAGCCCGAAGAACCUGCAAGACCUUCACUUCAUCAGAUGCAGCUUGGAUGACUUACCAGGUAAUACGGAGCACCUCACAUCACUCAAGAAUGUGAUCCGGUAUAACUACAGCCAAUCCAAAUUGGCAAAAGAUUGA
Molecule: ribosomal RNA, 789 nt
Filed under: Triticum aestivum (bread wheat)
Lineage: Eukaryota; Viridiplantae; Streptophyta; Magnoliopsida; Poales; Poaceae
Description: partial small subunit ribosomal RNA
Source: RNAcentral